Molecule: ribosomal RNA, 3204 nt
Filed under: Triticum aestivum (bread wheat)
Lineage: Eukaryota; Viridiplantae; Streptophyta; Magnoliopsida; Poales; Poaceae
Description: partial small subunit ribosomal RNA
Source: RNAcentral
AUGAGGCUGACUGUGCGUGUGAUCGGAGCGCGCAACCUGCGCGCCAUGGAUUUCAACGGGUUCAGCGACCCGUAUGUGAAACUGCAGGUUGGGAAGCAGCGGUUCAAGACCAAGGUGGUCAAGAUGAACCUGAACCCGGAGUGGGAUCAGGAGUUCAGCUUCGUCGUCGCCGAUGUCCGGGAGGUGCUCAAGUUAGAUGUCUAUGAUGAAGACAUGAUCGGGACCGAUGACUUCCUGGGCCAGGUGAGGGUGACACUGGAGGAUCUUCUGGCCGUGGAGAACUUCUCGCUCGGUACGCGCUGGUACCAGCUUCUUCCCAAGACCAAGAGUGACAAGGCAAUUAAUUGUGGGGAGAUUUGUCUUGCAAUAUCUUUAGAAACAGCUGGGGCCACACGAUCAUGGUCCGAUGAUCUUGCAACUGAACUAACUGGUACACAGAAAGAGGAUUCAUUGCAAUCAAGUCAAAGCGCAGGAUCAUCAUCAGCGGCAUUAGCUUAUGAAGAAAAUGAAGCUUCUAAAGAAGAUAAUGUUAAUGAGUAUUUUUCUGAUGGAACUGAAAUCCCUGAAGAUGACAAAUGUGGCGAAGUGAGAGAUCCAGAGGACAGGUUUAAUGGGAUUCCUACUGAAAUUUCUAAUGAAGCCGAAACUUCUAAAACAGAAAAGCUUGACAAGCCCUCGCUUGUUGAUCGUGUCUAUCAAAUGUUUGCCAAGAAAAAUGAUGAUAUUUCGUCAACAUCAUUGACAAAGACCGAGGCUUUAGAAGAAGUUCAGCAAGCACCAGCAGUAUUUGAGGCUCCUUUAAGCCAAAAUAGUGACAUUUCUUCAGAGAUUACAUUUGCUGAACUAUUGAGAUCUUUUGAAUCGAGGCACGAAGAAGUCGAAAUGCCUGUGAAUUUACAAGGAAUUCUUGUUAACCAGUCAUAUUUUACGUCACCUAGUGAUUUGAAUAACCUUCUCUUCUCACCAGAUUCAGAUUUUCGGCAAACAUUGGUUCAGCUUCAGGGUUGUACUGAUUUCAAAACUGAACCCUGGAGAAUUGAUAAUGAUGGGGAGUCCCUGAAGAGAGUGAUAAGUUAUACAACUGCACCAUCCAAAUUGGUUAAAGCUGUAAAGGCAACAGAGGAACAAUCUUAUUUGAAGGCUGAUGGAAAAGAGUAUUCAGUUUUAUUAAGUGCUAGCACUCCUGAUGUUCCUUGUGGUACUUAUUUUCGGACAGAGGUUCUUUUCCGUAUUAUGCCAGGCCCUGAACUUGAUUCUGAGCAACAGACUUCACAUUUGGUAAUUUCUUGGCGCAUGAAUUUUCUUCAGAGUACUAUGAUGAAAAGUAUUAUAGAAAAUGGAGCAAGACAAGGCUUGGAGCAAAAUUAUUCACAGUUCUCUGAUCUACUGUCAGAGAAGAUCAAGCCUAUUGAUGUAGAUGAUGCUGGAUCAGAUAAGGAGCAGGUCUUAGCUUCAUUGCAAGGGGGGCAGGAGUCUGAUUGGAAGAUAGCAUUCCUAUACUUCUGUAACUUUGGUGUCUUGUCCUCUCUUUUUGUUGCCUUGUACAUUGGUGUUCAUGUUUCACUAGUGAAUUCAGGUGCAGUUCAGGGACUUGAGUUUCCUGGAUUAGAUUUGCCAGAUUCUGUCAGUGAGAUUGUCAUGGGCGGGCUAUUGUUUCUUCAGGUGCAACACAUAUUUAAGAAAAUCAUGUGUUUUUUUCAGGCAAGAGAACAAAAAGUUGGUGAUCAUGGUGUGAAAGCACAAGGCGAUGGAUGGUUGCUAACUGUUGCCUUAAUUGAGGGAACUAAUUUGGCACCAGUCGAUGCUACUGGUUUCUCUGAUCCUUAUGUGGUAUUUACUUGCAAUGGUAAAACCAAAACAAGCUCAAUCAAGUUCCAAACACUUGAACCUCAGUGGAACGAUAUCUUUGAGUUUGAUGCCAUGGAUGAUCCUCCAUCAGUUAUGAAUGUGCAUGUAUAUGAUUUUGAUGGACCAUUUGACGAAGUUACCUCUCUUGGACAUGCUGAAAUCAACUUUGUGAAAUCAAAUCUGUCAGAGCUAGCGGAUGUAUGGAUUCCUCUUCAAGGUAACUUGGCUAAGUCCAGGCAGUCUAAGUUACACCUAAGAAUCUUCUUGAACAACUCAAAGGGCACUGGUAUGGUCACUGAGUAUCUGAGCAAAAUGGAGAAAGAAGUUGGUAAGAAGAUGACGUUGCGGUCUCCUCGAACUAAUACUGCAUUCCAGGAGCUCUUCUCUCUGCCUGCAGAAGAAUUUCUAAUCAGCAGUUUUACCUGCUACUUGAAGCGGAAAUUGCCUACACAGGGCCAUCUUUUCUUGUCUCCAAGAAUAAUUGGAUUUUAUUCAAGCAUGUUUGGCCGGAAAACAAAGUUUUUCUUUCUAUGGGAGGAUAUUGAGGACAUACAGGCAAUUCCCCCAUCACUAUCGACAUGGAGUCCAUCCCUUGCAAUAACUCUUCACAGAGGUAGAGGCAUGGAUGCAAAGCAUGGUGCGAAGAGCGUAGAGAGUGGAAAGCUGAAGUUUUCUCUGCAAUCUUUCGCAUCAUUUAGUGUGGCCAAUAGGACAAUAAUGGCGUUAUGGAAAGCAAGAUCAUUGAGCUCCGAGUCUAAAGUACAGAUUGCUGAGGAACAAUCUCAAAAUAAUACACUUCAGAGUGAGGACAGUGGGAUUUUUGUUGGUGUUGACGAUUCCAAGAGCCUUCAGAUGAGUGAAGUUUUCUCGUCAACCAUUUCUGCUAAUAUGAAUUCACUUCUGGAGGUGUUCGAAGGAGGUUCAUUGGAGAUGAAAGUCAUGGAGAAAGUUGGAUGCCUCAAAUACUCGGCUACACAAUGGGAAUCAGAUAAACCCGAGGAAUAUCAAAGACAAAUUCAUUACAAGUUUAGCAGGAAGUUGUCUCCUGUUGGAGGAGAAGUGACUGGGACCCAGCUGAAAUCUCCUAUGCCCAAUAAGAAAGGGUGGAUUAUUGAAGAGGUGAUGGAACUUCAAGGCGUCCUUCUUGGUGACUUCUUCACGCUUCAUAUAAAGUAUCAAAUCGAAGACCUUGCUCCUAAACAAAAGGCGUGCAGUGUCCAAGUCUAUCUUGGAAUUGAAUGGUCAAAGACCACCAGGCAUCAGAAGAGAAUCGAGAAGAAUGUUCUUUCCAGCUCAUCUGCUCGCCUAAAGGAGAUGUUCAGCCUUGCAUCCAAGCAACUCUCGAACACCAGAUAG